Long non-coding RNA from Cydia pomonella (codling moth), 2906 nucleotides. RefSeq lists it as uncharacterized. The transcript is spliced from 2 exons. Lineage: Eukaryota; Metazoa; Arthropoda; Insecta; Lepidoptera; Tortricidae. The record is from RefSeq and is a predicted model, not a curated record.
UAACAUUGCAAAUAUUUAAGAAAAAAAUUGUUUAAAAAAAUAUAGAACACCGCGCGGCAGAGUCGUAAAAAAUUCUUAGCCAAUUAUGAACAUCAAAAACGAGUUUUAUAGGUUGCUAGUGUCCUGUAAGCUGUAACUAAUAAGCAUGGAGUUUUCAUUAGAUAUAGUAUAUCAUCAUAUCAGCUCAUAUAUGUCCCCACCGAGGGGCUCGAGCCUACCCUGCAUUAGGGUGAUCGGGCCUUAGUCGAUCACGCGAGCCCAGUGCGGGUUGGUCGACUUCACACACAAGCUUCGAGUUUCCUCGCAGCCGUGUGCAGGUUUCCUCACGAUGUUUUCCUUCACCGUAAGAGCGUCGAAUAAACGUACAUAUGAAAUCGAGAUUCGAAAACACAUUGGUAUGCGGCCAGGAUUCGAACCACGACCUCCCAUGCACAGGAGGUAGCGGUCUUAAGCAUUACGCCACCGACGCUCUCUAUAUAUAGUAUAUAGCUCAAUUUUAAUAAUUAUUUGAUAGAAGACAUUUUUUAUCGUGUGUAUAAGCAUAUUUAAACUUAUGGCUCAGCUGGGCACGAUUUCAAGUGACCCAAAAUCUAUAAAGAAAUUAAACAAACAGUAUAGAAUUUUACUUAAAAAUGUUUAUUAUUUACAGGGGUCGUACAAAAAGUGCGGAUGACGUCAAACCACUUAUAGGAUGAUUUCAAAUAGUAUUAUUUCAAAUAGUAUUUUUGAUUUUCAUAAACAAUUAUCACUUAUCAUUUAUAGUGAGUAUACCUCUUUAUUAAACGAUAUCGCCACUUGAAAUGAGUAAGGUACGUUUUUGACUGACACAUUGUCAAUCAGAUGAACAAUAAAUUGACUUCGUUAUUGUUUAGCUAUUGUAUCUUCACGAUUAUAUUUAGCUAAAAUUUAUAUUUACUAAUGUACAAUAAGAAAAAGCUCUAAAAUGUCAUCUUUACUCGAAUAUUGUGGCAAUCCCACAGACUUGUUCUAACUAAUAGAGCAGCUUUCAUCGGGAUUUUAACGGGAAAGGAAAAAAAAGUGCAAUAGAUGCAUGGAACGCAUUUCCCAAUGCCACAGAAGGGUUUCUGGCAGCAUAUGAGGGGAGUACUAGCGAGGCGUUUACAGUAAUCGAAAAGUUUGUCGUCAUUUUAUAUGACAGAGCCACUUCAUUUACAACCGUAAACGAAGCCCGAAAGCACCUAUUCUCGAAAAAAGACCGCCAAUUGGAGAAUAUACCUCCGACGAAAGCUGCUCUAUACCAGCAUUUCCUGCGGGCAGUGUUCCAAGCAGUCCAUGUAUGGGGUCAGAUGUCACCGAAUCAAAAUCUUCCCUGUCCAUCUAACUGGGGAUGGAGAAAAGUCAGUGAAAGCUGGCAACCUACAUGGACAGACUUGCCCGUAGCUGCAGAUGCAUGCCUGGAAAUGAUCCGGUGCAGAUGCAAAAAGAGGUGCGGCGGCUCGAGGUGCCGGUGCUUUCAGCGGCAACUUAAGUGCACGGAGCUUUGCGAUUGUGGGGGACAAUGUAAAUAAUCAGGGGUCGGACAAAAAGUGCGGAUGACGUAAAAAUGACGUAAUCUUGCACACAGGAUGAUGUUUGAGUUUGUAUUUAAACUUCCGUGUGACAUGUAGUAACAAAGUAGUAUUAAUGAAGUAACAAAAUAAUCGUAAAUAAAUCCAUGGAAUUAAUAAUACAGGUGGUAGGGUGAUGUAGUGAAUAAAAUAAAUUUCACGAAACUUGUUACCAUAAGGUAUAAUUAUUUGAAAUUAGUUAGAACAAGUCUGUGGGAUUGCCACAAUAUUCGAGUAAAGAUGACAUUUUAGAGCUUUUUCUUAUUGUACAUUAGUAAAUAUAAAUUUUAGCUAAAUAUAAUCGUGAAGAUACAAUAGCUAAACAAUAACGAAGUCAAUUUAUUGUUCAUCUGAUUGACAAUGUGUCAGUCAAAAACGUACCUUACUCAUUUCAAGUGGCGAUAUCGUUUAAUAAAGAGGUAUACUCACUAUAAAUGAUAAGUGAUAAUUGUUUAUGAAAAUCAAAAAUACUAUUUGAAAUAAUACUAUUUGAAAUCAUCCUAUAAGUGGUUUGACGUCAUCCGCACUUUUUGUACGACCCCUGUAAAUAAUAAACAUUUUUAAGUAAAAUUCUAUACUGUUUGUUUAAUUUCUUUAUAGAUUUUGGGUCACUUGAAAUCGUGCCCAGCUGAGCCAUAAGUUUAAAUAUGCUUAUACACACGAUAAAAAAUGUCUUCUAUCAAAUAAUUAUUAAAAUUGAGCUAUAUACUAUAUAUAGAGAGCGUCGGUGGCGUAAUGCUUAAGACCGCUACCUCCUGUGCAUGGGAGGUCGUGGUUCGAAUCCUGGCCGCAUACCAAUGUGUUUUCGAAUCUCGAUUUCAUAUGUACGUUUAUUCGACGCUCUUACGGUGAAGGAAAACAUCGUGAGGAAACCUGCACACGGCUGCGAGGAAACUCGAAGCUUGUGUGUGAAGUCGACCAACCCGCACUGGGCUCGCGUGAUCGACUAAGGCCCGAUCACCCUAAUGCAGGGUAGGCUCGAGCCCCUCGGUGGGGACAUAUAUGAGCUGAUAUGAUGAUAUACUAUAUCUAAUGAAAACUCCAUGCUUAUUAGUUACAGCUUACAGGACACUAGCAACCUAUAAAACUCGUUUUUGAUGUUCAUAAUUGGCUAAGAAUUUUUUACGACUCUGCCGCGCGGUGUUCUAUAUUUUUUUAAACAACUUUUUUCUUAAAUAUUUGCAAUGUUACUUAUAUUUUUGGAAUCUGUAUUAAUGCGCCUUUUUAAAUAUAUUUUUUUUAAUCCGAUAUCGGUAAUCAUUAAAAAUUUAUUGACCUUGAAAGAUUUUUUUUACUCAAAAGAUUUUAGAUUUUGGGCCGUAUUUCAAUUUUUUUCUA